UGCCCAAUGUAACAGCAUCAAUGGCCGCGGUACUUUGACCGUGCUAAGGUAGCGCAAUAGAUUGGCCUUUAAUUGGGGUCAAGUAUGAAUGGAGUCACGGGGCUGAGCUGUCUCUUGACUAAUAUAUUGAAAUUACUAUACAGGUGAAAAAGCCUGUGGAAAGAAGAGGGACGAGAAGACCCUUAGAGUUUUUCUUAACUUAAGCUCGUGCUUAACAAAGUUUGGUUGGGGCAACCAAGGAACAACAAUAAUUUCCUUAAAAUAAUCUACCGAUUUUUAUAAAUAUGUAUAAACUACCUUAGGGAUAACAGCAUAAUUUACUAAAUAAGUUUGUGACCUCGAUGUUGGACUAGGAAACUUACAGGCUAGCCGCCUUUAGGGUAAGUUCUGUUCGAACUAUUUAUAUUCCUACGUGAUCUGAGUUCAGACCGGA
RNAcentral lists this ribosomal RNA (433 nucleotides) under Doris verrucosa. Its description in RNAcentral is "partial 16S ribosomal RNA". It matches the Rfam family "Bacterial large subunit ribosomal RNA", at positions 1860 to 2620 of the family's 2925-position model. The record is from RNAcentral. Lineage: Eukaryota; Metazoa; Mollusca; Gastropoda; Nudibranchia; Dorididae.